Molecule: ribosomal RNA, 482 nt
Filed under: uncultured bacterium
Lineage: Bacteria
Description: partial 16S ribosomal RNA
Rfam family: Bacterial small subunit ribosomal RNA
Source: RNAcentral
AUUGAACGCUGGCGGCAUGCCUUACACAUGCAAGUCGAACGGUAACAGGUCUUCGGAUGCUGACGAUUGGCGAACGGGUGAGUAAUACAUCGGAACGUGCCCGAUCGUGGGGGAUAACGAAGCGAAAGCUUUGCUAAUACCGCAUACGAUCGACGGAUGAACGCCGGGGACCGCGAGGCCUUGCGCGAGCGGAGCGGCCGGUGGCAGAUUAGGUAGAUGGUGGGAUAAAAGCUUAGCAAGCCGACGAUCUGGAGCUGGUCUGAGAGUGCGACCAGCCACACUGGGACUGAGACACGGACCAGACUCCUACGAGAGGCAGCAGUGGGGAAUUUUGGACAAUGGGCGAAAGCCUGACACAGUCAUGCCGAGUGCAGGAUGAAGGCCCUCGGGUUGUAAACUGCUUUUGUACGGAACGAAAAGACUCUGGUUAAUACCUGGGGUCCAUGACGGUACCGUAAGAAUAAGCACCGGCUAACUACGUG